RNAcentral lists this ribosomal RNA (564 nucleotides) under Triticum aestivum (bread wheat). RNAcentral's name for it is "partial small subunit ribosomal RNA". Lineage: Eukaryota; Viridiplantae; Streptophyta; Magnoliopsida; Poales; Poaceae. The record is from RNAcentral.
GAAAGACACAUAUCCAAACGCCCUGACGGCGCGUGCCCUUCUACGACGGUGGGUUGACAGCGGCGGAGGAACGAGCCGAAGAACGGUAGGAGUACAAUGACGACAAUUAGCAGCCACCGGUACGUCCAGCACCACCUUCCAAACCAGGUGGACGUGUGACGCUAUGAGCAGUCUUGGGUCCGCCGACGGGAGCAAACGGCGGAGGCUUGACACGUCCGACACCUAUCGUCGCCCAGAGUAAGGGCUUCGUAUACAGGAGCUGCUGCCAGAAAAUCGUACAGAACAUGAGGGAGUGAACGGUUUAUAAACAGAAAGAUGUGUAAAAUUUACCUGAUGUUGUAUGUCUACAAACAUCAGUAUAAAAUUUCAUAUCUAAGUAAGUAAAACGAAGCAUACAUUAGUAAACAACUUUAGAAAUUUUACUGUUUAUAAAUCUUUGCCCACUCAUAAUAUAAAGAGCACAAUAUUCUCUAUAAAUAGUUCCGGUGUUAGUAAAUGAAUGUUGUACAAUUCCUUUCGUUCGUAUCGACUUAUAUAUUCUGACCACUGCCCGAAGGCCGAAGG